This is a long non-coding RNA of Brienomyrus brachyistius, 831 nucleotides long. RefSeq lists it as uncharacterized. The record is from RefSeq and is a predicted model, not a curated record. Lineage: Eukaryota; Metazoa; Chordata; Actinopteri; Osteoglossiformes; Mormyridae. The transcript is spliced from 2 exons.
CAGUGCAAGUUUGUAUUACAGUAUGUGAAAUGCAUUGGCAAGAGAAAGCACUCAUAUACAUUUGUGAUUUCUUCGCACUGUUAUUGAAAUUGUCUCUGUCACGAUCAGGCUUGAACAGAGCGAUCGCUCAGGCGGGAGAGCGGGCAAGGAGCAGGCAAGGUACAGGGAUUUAUUAGAAGGACUCGGGGCAAGGAGACAUCAGACAUCGACGAACAUCAAUGACGGACAAGGAACCAGGGUUGUGGACCGGUGCCAGUCCAUGAGAAGGUUCCUGCCGGUCCAUGAGAAGGGUUCCUGCCGGUCCAUGAGAGAGUUCCUGCCGGUCCAAGAGAGAGUUCCUGCUGGUCCGCGAAGCCUCGCUUCUGCACCAAUCAAAAGUCAGUCAGAUUAGGUCAGGUACAAUAAUAAUAACAAUAAUAAUAAUAGCAAUACCAUCUAUCUAUAGUAAUAAUAUCUAUCUAUAUAUGUGGAUAUGCAUCCACGGGGGGAAGGUGGCUAUGCAGGGCCCUGCAGCCCCAAAGCCUGACAUGACUGGUCACCAAGACAAAUAAGUUUGAGAAACGCUGAGGUAAUACAUUUUUUUAGAAGGAAUUCAGGGUAACACAGCAGGUAAAAACAUCAGCAAAACCAGUUACUGCACAGCCUUAAAUAAGGAACCCAGUCUUAUCUCUGAUAAUGAAUCCAUUAGAUGUGUUAGCAAAUAGUGGACCACAAAUAUCAUAAGCAAAGGGGAGACAGGAUGGUGUAAAAACCAGACUUCCAGGGACAUUGUUUUCUAUAUAGUGUUGCCUGUGAACAUUAUCACUGUAAUAAACCCAGAAAUACUGAAAA